RNAcentral lists this ribosomal RNA (399 nucleotides) under uncultured bacterium. RNAcentral describes it as "bacterial SSU rRNA". It matches the Rfam family "Bacterial small subunit ribosomal RNA", at positions 774 to 1164 of the family's 1533-position model. The record is from RNAcentral.
AGUAAAUAGAUACCCUGGUAGUCCACGCCGUAAACGAUGAGUACUAGGUGUAGGAGGUAUCGACUCCUUCUGUGCCGCAGUUAAACACAAUAGGUACUCCGCCUGGGAAGUACGGUCGCAAGAUUAAAACUCAAAGGAAUUGACGGGGGCCCGGCACAAGCAGCGGAGCAUGUGGUUUAAUUUACGAAGCAACGCGAAGAACCUUACCUAGACUUGACAUCUCCUGAAUAGUGUAGAGAUACAUGAAGCCCUUCCGGGGUCGAGGAAGGACAGGUGGUGCAUGGUUGUCGUCAGCUCGUGUCGUGAGAUGUUGGGUUAAGUCCCGCAACGAGCGCAACCCUUAUUACUAGUUGCUACCAUUAAGUUGAGCACUCUAGUGAGACUGCCCGGGGUUAACCC